UUUCCUUGCAAUGCUUCCCUGCUAUCUUCAGUAGGUCGGUUUCUUGAGGGAGAAGACUGAAUCAGCCAGCUGCACCAGUUGGAUAAAGGAACCCUGGGUGGUUACUUCUGAGGUAAUGGAAGAGGAUCACCAAAAAGAAAGCAGAAGAAAGACAAAAAGGGAGCAAAAGAAAGUCAGAGUGAUGUUAAACAAAUAACCUAAUGAUGUACUUCAAAAUCUCAGACAAACGAGUACAAACCAGCCGCAAAACAGAGAAAAAAGAAAGUAAAACAGAAAAUUAAAACAACCAUAGCAGUUAUUAAUGAAAUGGAGAUUUAAGUAUCAAUCAAUCAAUCAAUCAAGGAGUUGGUUCUUCGAAAAGAAGUAAUCAAAACUGCAAGGCCCCUAUCCUGAUUAACCAAAAGAAUAAACAGGAAGUUCUAAUUAACAAUGGACUGGACCCUCAAAACUCUACGUGAGGUCAAAUUAUACUGAAGAAGAAAAUUAAUGGAGUGCUGGCACAAAACCAGACAUGUAGAUCAAUGGAAUACAACAGAAGACCGAGAGCCAAC
This 551-nucleotide long non-coding RNA is filed under the name Rattus norvegicus (Norway rat). Its description in RNAcentral is "long non-coding RNA NONRATT033498". Lineage: Eukaryota; Metazoa; Chordata; Mammalia; Rodentia; Muridae. The record is from RNAcentral.